GAUGAACGCUGGCGGCGUGCUUAACACAUGCAAGUCGAACGAAGCACUUUAUUUGAUUUCCUUCGGGACUGAUUAUUUUGUGACUGAGUGGCGGACGGGUGAGUAACGCGUGGGUAACCUGCCUUGUACGGGGGGAUAACAGUUGGAAACGGCUGCUAAUACCGCAUAAGCGCACAGCAUCGCAUGAUGCAGUGUGAAAAACUCCGGUGGUAUAAGAUGGACCCGCGUUGGAUUAGCUAGUUGGUGAGGUAACGGCCCACCAAGGCGACGAUCCAUAGCCGACCUGAGAGGGUGACCGGCCACAGUGGGACUGAGACACGGCCCAAACUCCUACGGGAGGCAGCAGUGGGGAAUAUUGCACAAUGGGCGAAAGCCUGAUGCAGCGACGCCGCGUGAGCGAAGAAGUAUUUCGGUAUGUAAAGCUCUAUCAGCAGGGAAGAUAAUGACGGUACCUGACUAAGAAGCACCGGCUAAAUACGUG
This 481-nucleotide ribosomal RNA is filed under the name uncultured bacterium. Its description in RNAcentral is "partial 16S ribosomal RNA". It matches the Rfam family "Bacterial small subunit ribosomal RNA", at positions 28 to 507 of the family's 1533-position model. The record is from RNAcentral.